Molecule: ribosomal RNA, 497 nt
Filed under: uncultured bacterium
Lineage: Bacteria
Description: partial 16S ribosomal RNA
Rfam family: Bacterial small subunit ribosomal RNA
Source: RNAcentral
GAUGAACGCUGGCGGCGUGCCUAAUACAUGCAAGUCGAGCGAACAGACGAGGAGCUUGCUCCUCUGACGUUAGCGGCGGACGGGUGAGUAACACGUGGAUAACCUACCUAUAAGUCUGGGAUAACUUCGGGAAACAGGAGAUACUACCGGAUAAUAUAUUGAACCGCAUGGUUCAAUAGUGAAUGACGGUUUUGCUGUCACUAAUAGAUGGAUCCGCGCCGCAUUAGCUAGUUGGUAAGGUAACGGCUUACCAAGGCAACGAUGCGUAGCCGACCUGAGAGGGUGAUCGGCCACACUGGAACUGAGACACGGUCCAGACUCCUACGGGAGGCAGCAGUAGGGAAUAUUCCGCAAUGGGCGAAAGCCUGACGCAGCAACGCCGCGUGAGUGAUGAAGGUCUUCGGAUCGUAAAGCUCUGUUGUUGGGGAAGAACAAAUGUGGAAUUAACUAUGCACGUCUUGACGGUACCUAAUCAGAAAGCCACGGCUAACUACGUG